UACGGGGGGGGCAAGCGUUGUUCGGAAUUACUGGGCGUAAAGGGCUCGUAGGCGGCCAACUAAGUCAGACGUGAAAUCCCUCGGCUUAACCGGGGAACUGCGUCUGAUACUGGAUGGCUUGAGUUUGGGAGAGGGAUGCGGAAUUCCAGGUGUAGCGGUGAAAUGCGUAGAUAUCAGGAGGAACACCGGUGGCGAAGGCGGGUCUCUGGGCCGAUACUGACGCUGAGGAGCGAAAGCGUGGGGAGCAAACAGG
RNAcentral lists this ribosomal RNA (253 nucleotides) under uncultured bacterium. Its description in RNAcentral is "partial 16S ribosomal RNA". It matches the Rfam family "Bacterial small subunit ribosomal RNA", at positions 524 to 776 of the family's 1533-position model. The record is from RNAcentral.